UCUUUAUUUUAAAAAUUUGUUACUUAAGUAGUAUGAAUGUAAAUAAUGUAAAGUACGUUUAUGUUUGAAAUUUAAAAGGCUUGGCGGUGUUAUAUAUCCUUCCAGGGGAGCUUGCUUAAUAAUUUGAUAAUCCUCAAUUUAUACUUACUUUUUUUUGAAUAAUAUCAGUUUGUAUAUUGCUGUCGUCAGUUUAUUUUGUAAAAAUUUUGGAAAAAACUUAAUAAUGUGAGGUUAUAAUGUCAAGUCAAAAUGCAGCUAAUAGAAAAGAUAUUGAAAGUGAGCUACGAUUUAUAAUUUUUUAUCUGAUUAAAUUAUGUAACUAAUUUAUGAGGUUGGACUUGGUAGUAAUAAACAUAUAUAUAUAAAUAGUGAGUUUUUGUGAAUUAGGUUUUAUAAUGCGU
RNAcentral lists this ribosomal RNA (401 nucleotides) under Spirula spirula. RNAcentral describes it as "partial 12S ribosomal RNA". Lineage: Eukaryota; Metazoa; Mollusca; Cephalopoda; Spirulida; Spirulidae. The record is from RNAcentral.